Long non-coding RNA from Bombyx mori (domestic silkworm), 1816 nucleotides. RefSeq lists it as uncharacterized. Lineage: Eukaryota; Metazoa; Arthropoda; Insecta; Lepidoptera; Bombycidae. The transcript is spliced from 2 exons. The record is from RefSeq and is a predicted model, not a curated record.
GAAUAUGAAAUUUCUCACACUUAUAGAGAAUAUAGAGAAGAAGUGCAGAAUGUUAAUAUUUCUUUUAAUCAUGCCUAAAAAAUUCAUUAAAUAAAUAAAGAAAACAUCACACACACUACCAUGUAUUUGAGUCAACACAUAUACACACACAUAUACUCAGUGUUUAUUGUCAAACUUUUGUCAUUGUUGAAAAUCUGUGCUCAAAUUGAGAAUAGGUUAAUAUUGUUUGUCUUUAACAUCAUUUGUCUAUAGUGUGUAGUCUUGGCGAAAUCUGUGAGUAUGGUUUAAAAUUAUAAUAGUCUUUGACAAUAUAACCAUAAUAAUGCUCAAACUUAUAAUUUCAAUUAAUUAUAGUCGAAGUUCCACUACAGAGGGACCACUAGUUUCAAUUCGUGUUUUCGUUUCGUGUAGUAUUUUAUUGGUAUUUUCUGGAAAUCUAAUACAUCGUAUGCUUUAGAAGACUUAAAAAGUAGCUUUUACCUAAUUUUGAAUCUGUAAUAUUUCGCACCACACACCCACAUUACGUUGCUGGGCCGUGCAAACGACGUAAGUGAUUCGUCAAUUGAAAAAACAGUGUGUUGUUUACAGAGAAAGCGGAUGUUUGUAAAUGCAGUCAACGGAGGCAUUUCUCUGUGCCGCGUGCCGGCUACGAGUUAGAUAGCAACUUGACCGCAAUGAUGGUGACACGGAUACAAAUCGAGGGCUGAGGUUUCCUUUGCAAGCCAUGACAUACGCUCUACUCCCAACACUUCAGUCCACGAUGCCAUCCGCACAGCUGAGGAUACGCAAGGCUGGCGCAGGAUAAUCCAGCAGAAAGUUAUUAAAGGUCACGACCUACAGCAUUGAGGAUUAUCAACGCCAGGAGGAGGAGACUCAAAAUUGAAUCAAAGAUAAAAAUUCACCAUUUAUAAGCGUACUCGUCAAAACUCGCCUGAUCAAGUAAGGCGAGUAAUUCAUUAACUUUAAACUCGUUCAUAUUUAGUUCGUUUUUGUCGUGGCCAUAUCUGAUGCGGUGAACUUGUUUUCGUAAAAGGAACACACGCGAAUCAUCACUAUGAAGGUCGAACUAUUUUAAAUUAAUCUCGUUUUGAGUAUCAGCCAUUGUAAAUUCGACAUAGAUUAAUUAUUUUAACUGGCUCUGAAUUGUGAUUUCGUCAUUAUUUAUUAUCAAAGAAUCGUUUCAAGUCAGUGACAUCGGAUUGUGUACUUUUUUUUUUCUUCGUCGUGUACAAUUGAUUCUCUUGUUUGUGUUUGAAAAUUUUAAUGGAUACUUUUGUAUGUUUGAACAAAGGUUAAGAAAAACUAGAUACAAAACAUAUCCUGUUGUCAAUAGGUUUGAAAACAAUGUUGUUUUUUAGUAAAAAAAAAUUCUAAGAAAACUAAAUGACUAGUGCUUGAACACUGCCUUACUUGUAAUACCCCAUAUUAUUUGGUAAAAAGUCAUCAAAAAUAUUAUACAAAACCAAUAAGAUAUGCGUAUCAGCUCCGACGCGCGACUGGAGAUUAUUACAAAUUUAAGUGAGAUUAUCAUUGAUCAUACAAUAGGUAAAGGAGAUAAACAACCUCAUUUUUUAUAAUAUUGAAUGAAUAUGGUUUCGGUAUUGUUUAUAUAAACCCUUUUAUUCCUAUUUAUUUAUAUUGAUUAUUUAGCACAUCCAUUAAUCGUUACAUAAUAGGUACAUACAUAUACUGCAAGCUAUUGUCAAGUACCAAAAGUUAUUAAAACUUGAAAGAGAAAAUUAUUGAAUAAUUGAAUAAUUGAAUUAAUUUAACAUGUUAAAUUCAAAUAAACAGCAACAUAGUUGAGAUAGAUAUA